This 396-nucleotide ribosomal RNA is filed under the name uncultured bacterium. Its description in RNAcentral is "partial 16S ribosomal RNA". It matches the Rfam family "Bacterial small subunit ribosomal RNA", at positions 523 to 918 of the family's 1533-position model. The record is from RNAcentral.
AUACGUAGGGGGCGAGCGUUGUCCGGAAUUACUGGGUGUAAAGGGUGCGUAGGCGGGACUGCAAGUCAGAUGUGAAAUGCCGGGGCUCAACCCCGGAGCUGCAUUUGAAACUGUGGUUCUUGAGUGAGGUAGAGGUAAGCGGAAUUCCUAGUGUAGCGGUGAAAUGCGUAGAUAUUAGGAGGAACAUCGGUGGCGAAGGCGGCUUACUGGGCCUUUACUGACGCUGAGGCACGAAAGCGUGGGGAGCAAACAGGAUUAGAUACCCUGGUAGUCCACGCUGUAAACGAUGAUGACUAGGUGUGGGGGGACUGAACCCUUCCGUGCCGCAGUUAACACAAUAAGUCAUCCACCUGGGGAGUACGGCCGCAAGGUUGAAACUCAAAUGAAUUGACGGGG